RNAcentral lists this ribosomal RNA (429 nucleotides) under Acidobacteriota bacterium. RNAcentral describes it as "Acidobacteria bacterium partial 16S ribosomal RNA". It matches the Rfam family "Bacterial small subunit ribosomal RNA", at positions 355 to 776 of the family's 1533-position model. The record is from RNAcentral. Lineage: Bacteria; Pseudomonadati; Acidobacteriota.
UGGGGAAUUUUGGACAAUGGGGGAAACCCUGAUCCAGCCAUCCCGCGUGUGCGAUGAAGGCCUUCGGGUUGUAAAGCACUUUUGGCAGGAAAGAAACGUCAUGGGUUAAUACCCCGUGAAACUGACGGUACCUGCAGAAUAAGCACCGGCUAACUACGUGCCAGCAGCCGCGGUAAUACGUAGGGUGCAAGCGUUAAUCGGAAUUACUGGGCGUAAAGCGUGCGCAGGCGGUUCGGAAAGAAAGAUGUGAAAUCCCAGAGCUCAACUUUAGAACUGCAUUUUUAACUACCGGGCUAGAGUGUGUCAGAGGAAGGUGGAAUUCCGCGUGUAGCAGUGAAAUGCGUAGAUAUGCGGAGGAACACCGAUGGCGAAGGCAGCCUCCUGGGAUAACACUGACGCUCAUGCACGAAAGCGUGGGGAGCAAACAGG